GAUGAACGCUGGCGGCGUGCUUAACACAUGCAAGUCGAACGAGAAGUGAAGACGGAAACCUUCGGGCGGAAGGCUUUAUUUCGAGUGGCGGACGGGGGAGUAACGCGUGGGUAACCUGCCUCAUACAGGGGGAUAACAGUUGGAAACGACUGUUAAUACCGCAUAAGACCACAGCACCGCAUGGUGCGGGGGUAAAAACUCCGGUGGUAUGAGAUGGACCCGCGUUCGAUUAGCCAGUUGGCGGGGUAACGGCCCACCAAAGCGACGAUCGAUAGCCGAUCUGAGAGGAUGACCGGCCACAUUGGGACUGAGACACGGCCCAAACUCCUACGGGAGGCAGCAGUGGGGAAUAUUGCACAAUGGGGGAAACCCUGAUGCAGCGACGCCGCGUGAGUGAAGAAGUCUUUCGGUAUGUAAAGCUCUAUCAGCAGGGAAGAAAAUGACGGUACCUGAGUAAGAAGCCCCGGCUAACUACGUG
Molecule: ribosomal RNA, 478 nt
Filed under: uncultured bacterium
Lineage: Bacteria
Description: partial 16S ribosomal RNA
Rfam family: Bacterial small subunit ribosomal RNA
Source: RNAcentral